CGGAGGGUGCAAGCGUUAUCCGGAUUCACUGGGUUUAAAGGGUGCGUAGGAGGGCAGGUAGGUCAGUGGUGAAAUCUCCAAGCUUAACUUGGAAACUGCCGUUGAUACUAUCUGUCUUGAAUAUUGUGGAGGUGAGCGGAAUAUGUCAUGUAGCGGUGAAAUGCUUAGAUAUGACAUAGAACACCAAUUGCGAAGGCAGCUCGCUACUCAAUUAUUGACUCUGAGGCACGAAAGCGUGGGGAUCAAACAGGAUUAGAUACCCUGGUAGUCCACGCUGUAAACGAUGAGUGCUAGACGUCAUGGGUAUUGACCCCUGUGGUGUCGAAGUUAACACGUUAAGCACUCCGCCUGGGGAGUACGGUCGCAAGAUUA
RNAcentral lists this ribosomal RNA (372 nucleotides) under uncultured organism. RNAcentral describes it as "bacterial SSU rRNA". It matches the Rfam family "Bacterial small subunit ribosomal RNA", at positions 526 to 896 of the family's 1533-position model. The record is from RNAcentral.